This 497-nucleotide ribosomal RNA is filed under the name uncultured bacterium. Its description in RNAcentral is "bacterial SSU rRNA". It matches the Rfam family "Bacterial small subunit ribosomal RNA", at positions 897 to 1398 of the family's 1533-position model. The record is from RNAcentral.
AAACUCAAAGGAAUUGACGGGGACCCGCACAAGCGGUGGAUGAUGUGGAUUAAUUCGAUGCAACGCGAAAAACCUUACCUACCCUUGACAUGUCUGGAAUCCCGAAGAGAUUUGGGAGUGCUCGCAAGAGAACCGGAACACAGGUGCUGCAUGGCUGUCGUCAGCUCGUGUCGUGAGAUGUUGGGUUAAGUCCCGCAACGAGCGCAACCCUUGUCAUUAGUUGCUACGAAAGGGCACUCUAAUGAGACUGCCGGUGACAAACCGGAGGAAGGUGGGGAUGACGUCAAGUCCUCAUGGCCCUUAUGGGUAGGGCUUCACACGUCAUACAAUGGUCGGGACAGAGGGUCGCCAACCCGCGAGGGGGAGCCAAUCCCAGAAACCCGAUCGUAGUCCGGAUCGCAGUCUGCAACUCGACUGCGUGAAGUCGGAAUCGCUAGUAAUCGCGGAUCAGCAUGUCGCGGUGAAUACGUUCCCGGGUCUUGUACACACCGCCCGUC